AUUGAACGCUGGCGGCAUGCCUUACACAUGCAAGUCGAACGGCAGCACGGGAGCAAUCCUGGUGGCGAGUGGCGAACGGGUGAGUAAUAUAUCGGAACGUGCCCAGUCGUGGGGAUAACGUAGCGAAAGCUACGCUAAUACCGCAUACGAUCUACGGAUGAAAGCGGGGGAUCGCAAGACCUCGCGCGAUUGGAGCGGCCGAUAUCAGAUUAGGUAGUUGGUGAGGUAAAGGCUCACCAAGCCGACGAUCUGUAGCUGGUCUGAGAGGACGACCAGCCACACUGGGACUGAGACACGGCCCAGACUCCUACGGAGGCAGCAGUGGGGAAUUUUGGACAAUGGGCGCAAGCCUGAUCCAGCAAUGCCGCGUGCAGGAUGAAGGCCUUCGGUU
RNAcentral lists this ribosomal RNA (391 nucleotides) under uncultured bacterium. RNAcentral's name for it is "bacterial SSU rRNA". It matches the Rfam family "Bacterial small subunit ribosomal RNA", at positions 30 to 423 of the family's 1533-position model. The record is from RNAcentral.